AGGGAGAUCAAACUUGUCUUAUUCAUAAUCAAAUUCCUCAAAAACCCAUGUAGAAAUACUCAUUGAUUUCGGAAUAAAUUCAAAUUUGAUUUAAACACUACUAAAAGGUGACCCAACUAGAUUUUCUUUUUCUUUUCAAUUGGAGUCAUAGUUUUUUUUACCCACUUAAAGCAAGAUACUAAUGGCGUAGUAUCACUUGAACGGUAAGACAU
This 212-nucleotide long non-coding RNA is filed under the name Carica papaya (papaya). RNAcentral describes it as "long non-coding RNA (CPAP_LNC001892)". Lineage: Eukaryota; Viridiplantae; Streptophyta; Magnoliopsida; Brassicales; Caricaceae. The record is from RNAcentral.